AGUGAACGCUGGCGGUAGGCCUAACACAUGCAAGUCGAACGGCAGCACAGUAAGAGCUUGCUCUUACGGGUGGCGAGUGGCGGACGGGUGAUGAAUACAUCGGAGUCUACUGUUUCGUGGGUGAUAACGUAGGGAAACUUACGCUAAUACCGCAUACGACCUACGGGUGAAAGCAGGGGAUCUUCGGACCUUGCGCGAUUGAAUGAGCCGAUGUCGGAUUAGCUAGUUGGCGGGGUAAAGGCCCACCAAGGCGACGAUCCGUAGCUGGUCUGAGAGGAUGAUCAGCCACACUGGAACUGAGACACGGUCCAGACUCCUACGGGAGGCAGCAGUGGGGAAUAUUGGACAAUGGGCGCAAGCCUGAUCCAGCCAUACCGCGUGGGUGAAGAAGGCCUUCGGGUUGUAAAGCCCUUUUGUUGGGAAAGAAAAGCAGCAGGUUAAUACCCCGCUGUUCUGACGGUACCCAAAGAAUAAGCACCGGCUAACUUCGUG
RNAcentral lists this ribosomal RNA (492 nucleotides) under uncultured bacterium. Its description in RNAcentral is "partial 16S ribosomal RNA". It matches the Rfam family "Bacterial small subunit ribosomal RNA", at positions 29 to 507 of the family's 1533-position model. The record is from RNAcentral.